GACGAACGCUGGCGGCGUGCUUAACACAUGCAAGUCGAACGGAAAGGCCCUGCUUUUGUGGGGUGCUCGGAUGGCGAACGGGUAAGUAACACGUGUGUAACCUGCCCUUGACUUUGGGAUAACUUCAGGAAACUGAGGCUCAUACGGGAUAGGAGCUACUGCUGCAUGGUGGGGGUGGGAAAGUUUCGGCGGUUGGGGAUGGACUCGCGUCGUAUCAGCUUGUUGGUUAGGUAGUGGCUGACCAAGACCUUGACGGGUAGCCGGCCUGAUAGGGUGACCGGCCACAUUGGGACUGAGAUACGGCCCAGACUCCUACGGGAGGCAGCAGUGGGGAAUAUUGCACAAUGGGCGGAAGCCUGAUGCAGCAACGCCGCGUGCGGGAUGACGGCCUUCGGGUUGUAAACCGCUUUCGCCUGUGACGAAGCGUGAGUGACGGUAAUGGGUAAAGAAGCACCGGCUAACUACGUG
This 468-nucleotide ribosomal RNA is filed under the name uncultured bacterium. RNAcentral's name for it is "partial 16S ribosomal RNA". It matches the Rfam family "Bacterial small subunit ribosomal RNA", at positions 28 to 507 of the family's 1533-position model. The record is from RNAcentral.